Molecule: transfer RNA, 72 nt
Filed under: Parastagonospora nodorum
Lineage: Eukaryota; Fungi; Ascomycota; Dothideomycetes; Pleosporales; Phaeosphaeriaceae
Also listed under: 1 other name
Description: tRNA-Arg
Rfam family: tRNA
About the family: Transfer RNA (tRNA) molecules are approximately 80 nucleotides in length. Their secondary structure includes four short double-helical elements and three loops (D, anti-codon, and T loops).
Source: RNAcentral
GUCUCAGUGGCGCAAUGGUAGCGCGUUGGACUUCUAAUCCAAAGGCUGCGGGUUCGAGCCCCGCCUGAGAUG